RNAcentral lists this unclassified non-coding RNA (21 nucleotides) under Dictyostelium discoideum. Lineage: Eukaryota; Evosea; Eumycetozoa; Dictyosteliales; Dictyosteliaceae. The record is from RNAcentral.
ACCACUUGAGUUAACUGAUUU